AACGAACGCUGGCGGCAGGCUUAACACAUGCAAGUCGAGCGCGGUCUUUCGGGACUGAGCGGCGGACGGGUGAGUAACGCGUGGGAACGUGCCCUUUGGUUCGGAAUAGCCCUGGGAAACUGGGAGUAAUGCCGAAUAAGCUCUCUGGAGGAAAGAUUUAUCGCCAAAGGAUCGGCCCGCGUCGGAUUAGGUAGUUGGUGGGGUAACGGCCUACCAAGCCGACGAUCCGUAGCUGGUUUGAGAGGAUGACCAGCCACACUGGGACUGAGACACGGCCCAGACUCCUACGGGUGGCAG
RNAcentral lists this ribosomal RNA (297 nucleotides) under uncultured Pseudomonadota bacterium. RNAcentral's name for it is "uncultured proteobacterium partial 16S ribosomal RNA". It matches the Rfam family "Bacterial small subunit ribosomal RNA", at positions 29 to 351 of the family's 1533-position model. The record is from RNAcentral. Lineage: Bacteria; Pseudomonadati; Pseudomonadota.